CAGUAGCCGCGGUAAUACGUAGGGUGCAAGCGUUAAUCGGAAUUACUGGGCGUAAAGCGUGCGCAGGCGGUUAUAUAAGACAGAUGUGAAAUCCCCGGGCUCAACCUGGGAACUGCAUUUGUGACUGUAUAGCUAGAGUACGGCAGAGGGGGAUGGAAUUCCGCGUGUAGCAGUGAAAUGCGUAGAUAUGCGGAGGAACACCGAUGGCGAAGGCAAUCCCCUGGGCCUGUACUGACGCUCAUGCACGAAAGCGUGGGGAGCAAACAGGAUUAGAUACCCCAGUAGUCCCUGUCUCUUAUAC
This 301-nucleotide ribosomal RNA is filed under the name uncultured bacterium. Its description in RNAcentral is "partial 16S ribosomal RNA". It matches the Rfam family "Bacterial small subunit ribosomal RNA", at positions 509 to 807 of the family's 1533-position model. The record is from RNAcentral.